CAGGCACUAAUGAUCUCCAGCUGGCCCCUUACCACUCAGGACCUUUUAGUGAGAUCCAGUACCAUGAGCUCAUCUCUUUUUGCUGGAGAAUAAUGUACCUGAGCAGGGACAUGGUUCAUCAGCUUCGUAUUUCUGGGCUCUGUGGUUCUAAUUUAGGAGUACAAGUGAAACUCCCAUGGGCAUCUUCCUUUAUGAAGAAGAAUCUCCUUGGAGGUCAAUGGACUUGCACUGGUUUUCAUUCCUUCUGCCUCGCAAAACACCAGCCCUGUGGCUAUGGCUGUGUGCUGGUGGGAAGACAAAAUGCAUCACCACAGGGCAAAGCAAUACAGAUCAGUCCCUGAUCUGUAUCACAGCCUGGUUGUGUGAGCAUGGUGCUCUAUGCUUUGCUGCUGCUGCCAAAUUAAUGGCUGCCACUUACAGCCUGGGCACUGUGGAAUUAUAGUCAGGAGCUGUGGAAUCAGCUUUCCACCAAUCCUGAUGCUGUGUUUUUCCAUUGGGAUCCUUCAUACUGUGACUUGAGUCUUAUGUGAUGUGGGGUCCCACCCCAAGUGCACCUCAUGAAUGCAUCCACCUUGUUUGUGAAAGGAAAGAGCAGGCUAAAACCUUUUGGAUGGCUUCCAUUUCCCAGGCUGUGGUGAGAUCAGAAGAGUCCAGUAAACUUUCUUUUAUAUAUUUCUGCUGGAGAAUGCAAAAAUUGGGAUUGUAGUAUUUGAGCCCAGAACUUCAGUGAAUAAGUGGAUCUUCAGAACCUCCAUAACACCUGUCCAACCUUUGGUAUCACUGCUGUAGACACUCAUAGCUGCUUCGAGUAAUUAUCAACGUCAUCAGGGAAAUGCUUCUUCAUAGCACAUGGCAAUGUAUCCGUAUCACAUUGACUUUAAUGUUCAGGGAAAAAAAAAAAAAAACAGCAGAUAAAUGAAAUGUCAUGUCACUUUGGAUAUCAGCAGCCCUGACUAGUCAAAGAGGGUGCUGAAGCUGGAGGAUGUCCAGUCUUCAAAUAAGCAGAAAGGAAAACAAAACAUUGUGUUGUCCACCAGGUGAAAGUGACUGUGCUGCAGAAGCUGAAGCCAUGUAGUGAAACCACCACACUGCUUUGAUGGCACUGUGUUAUUAAUAUCCUUCUUUUUCUGGUGUUUGCAAUUAGCUUAGGAGAAAGUCAGCAAGCAUCACUAAGAAUGGCAGCUCGAUCUGAUGCAGAAAUAACCCUGAAAUGGAAAUGAUCUGUGUUUCUCCGCCCUUGACAAAGGAGACCAGAAUUAGUGGCCAAAAUGAUAACUUUCUUUUUAUAAUCAGUUCAAGCUCUUGAACCCUGCACAGGAGGAUGGGCUGAUUGUGGAUAAUGGUACGGAUGAGAUUAUUUGGGAUUUGCACAUCAAGGCUUGCUGGAUCAUUCUACAGCAUGAAGGUCUGCGUGUAGUGACUCAUGGCUUAGUUCCUCGUCCUGUGGAGAUAGUUCAAUCCUGCUAGGCACUGAGCAGAGUUUCGUCCAUUUUUGUGCUUAAGUCAUAAAAAACCCUUACUUCUCUGGCUGUUGGGCUGGCAGGGGAGAGGGAUGGUAUGUCGCUGUGCUUAGAGAAAAUUAGUGAGUUUAUUAAAUUAAAAUCAGCUCAUGUAAUUGAAUUGCAUAGGAUCCAUGACAUGCCAAGUGCAUGUACAAGUAAGUUGGCAGGGCAAGGUUCACCUCCCCUCACACCAUUGUGCUUUUCCAAGGUGCUGUAGCUCUGGGAGUAGCAGUCCUCAGGGACCCUGUGUGGAUACUGGAUUAUUAUUAUAGCUAUGGGAAAUCAUAGAGUAUUAUAGUCUGGCAAAACCUGAAAGGACUUGGUCUGUGUCUCAACGGGAAGUGGGUUUGGACUGGUCUCCAGGUUAUUUCGGAUUCGUGGUGGUUUGAUACAGUCAGUUGCAAAGAUUGUAUCAUUGCUUGGUUUUGAGAGAAAGCAGUUUGGAGCAGAUUUAAGCUUGGAAUAAACAAUCAUCCGGGCUGAUUCA
Numida meleagris (helmeted guineafowl) is the source of this 1989-nucleotide long non-coding RNA. Lineage: Eukaryota; Metazoa; Chordata; Aves; Galliformes; Numididae. The record is from Ensembl.